AUUCGGAUCAUGCCACUCAUAGGCAUAAAUUGCUUUGCCGGUGGUCUUGAGCGGACCGUCGAUGCGGGUGA
This 71-nucleotide small RNA is filed under the name Sinorhizobium meliloti 2011. Its description in RNAcentral is "putative ncRNA". The record is from RNAcentral. Lineage: Bacteria; Pseudomonadati; Pseudomonadota; Alphaproteobacteria; Hyphomicrobiales; Rhizobiaceae.